AGGACACACUACAAUACCUGAUUUCUUCAGCUCUCAGGUCCUUCAUCUACUCUGGAAGAAAAAUAUCUAAGAAUAAAGAACUGGGUGUGCUAGAACCCCAACACAAUUUUUUACACUGGUCACCCUGAAGAGAUAGUUUAUGUGUAUCCAGUUCUUCUGUUCCUGCCUGAAGGGCUCAAGCACAGCUGGCUUCCCCCACCCCCAAGGGAUCAAGACGGGGCAGCAUUCCAAUCAACAGACACCGAAAUUGCAACAAUCAAGUCUCAUCCGGAUCGAUCCAUGGGUACUGUCAGAGAUCUUCCUGACCUUUGCUUAUCUAGAGUUUGAAAGCAGCUCUGGACCAGUCUUCUCCCUGUUCAACUCCAAGUGUCAAUAGUGAACGCCUUAUUUUCAGCACCACAAUCUACACAGUUAGGACUCCUGUAGUCAAAAGAGUUGCUGUAUGCAUAGAAGAAUUUUGAUGCUCCACCCCAUGUUAACUACAAAGAAAAAGUGGAGUAAGUGAACCGUCAUAAGAACAGAUUGAAAGCACUAAGAACAAUGGCCAGCACCUGGACUUGGUAUCAAUCAAUCACGAAGCAGGGGACCUUGGAUCGUGCCAGAGGGUCACAGAGACCUGAUGAAGACUCUCCUGACUUCAUCCUUUGAGACCACUGACCCAAUUUGAGACCACCGACCCAAUUCAAGAGAAGAACUGCGCACGUGUGAAGGACUAAUAGCCUCAUUUUAAUAGAGAGCGGGGAUGGGAGAU
Molecule: long non-coding RNA, 751 nt
Organism: Hirundo rustica (Barn swallow)
Lineage: Eukaryota; Metazoa; Chordata; Aves; Passeriformes; Hirundinidae
Exons: 6
Source: RefSeq, a predicted model, not a curated record